UACGGGGGGGGCGAAGCGUUGUUCGGAAUUACUGGGCGUAAAGGGCUCGUAGGCGGCCAACUAAGUCAGACGUGAAAUCCCUCGGCUUAACCGGGGAACUGCGUCUGAUACUGGUUGGCUUGAGUGUGGGAGAGGGAUGCGGAAUUCCAGGUGUGGCGGUGAAAUGCGUAGAUAUCUGGAGGAACACCGGUGGCGAAGGCGGCAUCCUGGACCAUUACUGACGCUGAGGAGCGAAAGCCAGGGGAGCAAACGGGG
Molecule: ribosomal RNA, 255 nt
Filed under: uncultured bacterium
Lineage: Bacteria
Description: partial 16S ribosomal RNA
Rfam family: Bacterial small subunit ribosomal RNA
Source: RNAcentral